CGCAUAAUGAGCUCAUGUCGUCGGUUCGGGUAUUGUAAUACACGCUGUAGAAUGCGAUUCGUGUUCUCUCCGCUUUGGCCGUGAAGUUGACACUAGCGACUUGGAAGGUAGAGUUGGAGUCCGGAGUGUAGUGAAAAUUUUGUGCUUGGUCUCCAGCAAAGGCCAUGACAGCUAGUGGUUCCUUGCAUUUGUCCCUAGCGUGGCCCAAUGAAAAGGUCAAGCUGUAUAGCUUGUUUGGUGUGGUUUCGACCAUUUGUGAAAUGAUGCCUUCCUUGCCCGAGACUAACUCCACGGCACGUUUACCUUCUGGGACUGCAUAGUGAUUGGAAUCAAUGUAUCGAACCGCUCGGUUCGAUUCGACCAUCCAUCCAGGUAAUGGCGAUGUCUCUUCGUCGAGGUUGGUUGGAAGGAGGACACCAAGAGAUACGUUUUGGAACAUCCAUGGACCGAACUCGAAGCCACUGUUAACUACUGCAUUGUCUGUAAAAACAUUCCAACUUCAGUUCAAUCGAUCCCAUCGGACCAAUCGAUUUAUUUGAUUUAAUUAAAUAAAUUAAUAAAUAUAUAUAAAUUAAAAAAUAAAUUCUUACCUUUGGGUUUAUCAGGGGUGAUAAGUUUCUUGAUGGCUAUGUCAUCGAUGAUGGGUCCACAUUCCGGGUCAUCUUCCAUGCCCGGAUUCCUAAAAAUCAACCGGCCUUUAUCCUCCUCCGCCUCAAAAGAAAUCGUGUAAGGGUCCCACCCUUGCACGUUGUACAAUGUUUGCAGGUCCACCGUUUGCGAUGCAGGUGGUACGGACACGUUCAGUGACUCCAUCUGCGCGCAAGUGCGUGCCGCACUGAACGUAACCGCGUAAGCCGAUCCUUUCUCAACCGUCACUUCCUGACUGAUCUCCGCGUCGUUGCCCAAUCUGACGGCGUGCCUGCCUCGGGGUACG
Molecule: long non-coding RNA, 934 nt
Filed under: Gossypium raimondii (Peruvian cotton)
Lineage: Eukaryota; Viridiplantae; Streptophyta; Magnoliopsida; Malvales; Malvaceae
Description: long non-coding RNA (GRAI_LNC008826)
Source: RNAcentral